RNAcentral lists this ribosomal RNA (491 nucleotides) under uncultured bacterium. RNAcentral describes it as "partial 16S ribosomal RNA". It matches the Rfam family "Bacterial small subunit ribosomal RNA", at positions 29 to 506 of the family's 1533-position model. The record is from RNAcentral.
AGUGAACGCUGGCGGUAGGCCUAACACAUGCAAGUCGAACGGCAGCACAGUAAGAGCUUGCUCUUACGGGUGGCGAGUGGCGGACGGGUGAGGAAUACAUCGGAAUCUACUUUUUCGUGGGGGAUAACGUAGGGAAACUUACGCUAAUACCGCAUACGACCUACGGGUGAAAGCAGGGGAUCUUCGGACCUUGCGCGAUUGAAUGAGCCGAUGUCGGAUUAGCUAGUUGGCGGGGUAAAGGCCCACCAAGGCGACGAUCCGGAGCUGGUCUGAGAGGAUGAACAGCCACAGUGGAACUGGGACAGGGUCCAGACUCGCAGGGGAGGGAGGAGGGGGAAAUAUUGGACAAUGGGCGGAAGGCUGAUCCAGCCAAACCGGGGGGGGGAAGAGGGCCUUCGGGUUGUAAAGCCCUUUUGUUGGGAAAAAAAAGCAGAAGGUUAAUCCCCCGUUUUUCUGGCGGUACCCAAAGAAUAAGCCCCGGCUACCUUCGU